Molecule: ribosomal RNA, 468 nt
Filed under: uncultured bacterium
Lineage: Bacteria
Description: partial 16S ribosomal RNA
Rfam family: Bacterial small subunit ribosomal RNA
Source: RNAcentral
GACGAACGCUGGCGGCGUGCUUAACACAUGCCAGUCGAACGGAAAGGCCCUGCUUUUGUGGGGUGCUCGAGUGGCGAACGGGUGAGUAACACGUGAGUAACCUGCCCUUGACUUUGUGAUAACUUCAGGAAACUGGGGCUAAUACCGGAUAGGAGCUCCUGCUGCACGGUGGUGGUUGGAAAGUUUCGGCGGUUGGGGAUGGACUCGCGGCUUAUCAGCUUGUUGGUUGGGUAGUGGCUUACCAAGGCUUUGACGGGUAGCCGGCCUGAGAGGGUGACCGGAAACAAUGGGACUGAGAGACGGACCAGACUGCAACGGGAGGCAGCAGUGGGGAAUAUUGCACAAUGGGCGGAAGCCUGAUGCAGCAACGCCGCGUGCGGGAUGACGGCCUUCGGGUUGUAAACCGAUUUCGCCUGUGACGAAGCGUGAGUGACGGUAAUGGGUAAAGAAGCACCGGCUAACUACGUG